ACACUUGAAUGAAUAGACUUUGAAUCAAAACCUUUUACUCCUUGACACCUUUCUAUCGUGAAUCAUUUUUAAUACGUCUUAAGUCGUUUUACUAUUUCUACUUUGUCCUUAAUCUUCCCUCAUUGUUUUCACGUCUUUAUCCACUUCUUUUGAACGCCGCCCACACUACUAAAUUUGAAGGCAGCAACUUGAAGGGGAAGGAGAAGCUGCCACUGCUCGGAACCCGGAGUAUGCAGCACAAUAAAACGCCCGGCAGCAGCAGUAGGAGGAGGAGGGGAGGAGGAGGAGGAGCAGCAGCAGCACAUCAAGUCAUCGGCAGGAACUCCCAAAUUAAAUGAAUUUAAAUAAAUGGUGUAAUCAAAUG
This is a long non-coding RNA of Alosa sapidissima (American shad), 364 nucleotides long. RefSeq lists it as uncharacterized. The record is from RefSeq and is a predicted model, not a curated record. The transcript is spliced from 3 exons. NCBI's taxonomy places the organism in Eukaryota, Metazoa, Chordata, Actinopteri, Clupeiformes, Clupeidae.